UCCCUGGUGGCUCAGAUGGUAAAGCGUCUACCUGCAAAGGCAGGAGACCCAGGUUCAAUUCCUGGGUUGGGAA
RNAcentral lists this transfer RNA (73 nucleotides) under Bos taurus (domestic cattle). It matches the Rfam family "tRNA". From Rfam's summary of the family: Transfer RNA (tRNA) molecules are approximately 80 nucleotides in length. The record is from Rfam by way of RNAcentral. Lineage: Eukaryota; Metazoa; Chordata; Mammalia; Artiodactyla; Bovidae.